UGGUGGAGCGAUUUGUCUGGUCAAUUCCGAUAACGAACAAGACUCUAGCCUACUAAAUAGUUCGGGGACCCCCACAAAGGGGCCCCGCUUCAACUUCUUAGAGGGACAGGUGGCGUUUAGCCACACGAGAUUGAGCAAUAACA
This 143-nucleotide ribosomal RNA is filed under the name uncultured eukaryote. RNAcentral describes it as "partial 18S ribosomal RNA". It matches the Rfam family "Eukaryotic small subunit ribosomal RNA", at positions 1299 to 1458 of the family's 1831-position model. The record is from RNAcentral.